Molecule: non-coding RNA, 80 nt
Organism: Podarcis lilfordi (Lilford's wall lizard)
Lineage: Eukaryota; Metazoa; Chordata; Lepidosauria; Squamata; Lacertidae
Source: the annotation of a GenBank genome assembly
GCAUGGAUAGCUUAGUUGGUUAGAGUGUGGUGCUGAUAAUGCCCAGACUGCAGGUUCAAUCCUUGUAUGGGACAGCUGCA